RNAcentral lists this ribosomal RNA (514 nucleotides) under uncultured bacterium. RNAcentral's name for it is "bacterial SSU rRNA". It matches the Rfam family "Bacterial small subunit ribosomal RNA", at positions 996 to 1509 of the family's 1533-position model. The record is from RNAcentral.
CUUAGCAGAGAUGCUUUGGUGCCUUCGGGGAACUCUGAGACAGGUGCUGCAUGGCUGUCGUCAGCUCGUGUUGUGAAAUGUUGGGUUAAGUCCCGCAACGAGCGCAACCCUUAUCCUUUGUUGCCAGCGGCUCGGCCGGGAACUCAAAGGAGACUGCCGGUGAUAAACCGGAGGAAGGUGGGGAUGACGUCAAGUCAUCAUGGCCCUUACGGCCAGGGCUACACACGUGCUACAAUGGCGCAUACAAAGAGAAGCGACCUCGCGAGAGCAAGCGGACCUCAUAAAGUGCGUCGUAGUCCGGAUUGGAGUCUGCAACUCGACUCCAUGAAGUCGGAAUCGCUAGUAAUCGUAGAUCAGAAUGCUACGGUGAAUACGUUCCCGGGCCUUGUACACACCGCCCGUCACACCAUGGGAGUGGGUUGCAAAAGAAGUAGGUAGCUUAACCUUCGGGAGGGCGCUUACCACUUUGUGAUUCAUGACUGGGGUGAAGUCGUAACAAGGUAGGCGUAGCGAG